Molecule: ribosomal RNA, 643 nt
Filed under: Micromonospora humi
Lineage: Bacteria; Bacillati; Actinomycetota; Actinomycetes; Micromonosporales; Micromonosporaceae
Description: bacterial SSU rRNA
Rfam family: Bacterial small subunit ribosomal RNA
Source: RNAcentral
CGCGGCCUAUCAGCUUGUUGGUGGGGUGAUGGCCUACCAAGGCGACGACGGGUAGCCGGCCUGAGAGGGCGACCGGCCACACUGGGACUGAGACACGGCCCAGACUCCUACGGGAGGCAGCAGUGGGGAAUAUUGCACAAUGGGCGGAAGCCUGAUGCAGCGACGCCGCGUGAGGGAUGACGGCCUUCGGGUUGUAAACCUCUUUCAGCAGGGACGAAGCGUAAGUGACGGUACCUGCAGAAGAAGCGCCGGCCAACUACGUGCCAGCAGCCGCGGUAAGACGUAGGGCGCGAGCGUUGUCCGGAUUUAUUGGGCGUAAAGAGCUCGUAGGCGGCUUGUCGCGUCGACCGUGAAAACCUGGGGCUCAACCCCAGGCCUGCGGUCGAUACGGGCAGGCUAGAGUUCGGUAGGGGAGACUGGAAUUCCUGGUGUAGCGGUGAAAUGCGCAGAUAUCAGGAGGAACACCGGUGGCGAAGGCGGGUCUCUGGGCCGAUACUGACGCUGAGGAGCGAAAGCGUGGGGAGCGAGCAGGAUUAGAUACCCUGGUAGUCCACGUUGUAAACGUUGGGCGCUAGGUGUGGGGGGCCUCUCCGGUUCCCUGUGCCGCAGCUAACGCAUUAAGCGCCCCGCCUGGGGAGUACGG